Molecule: ribosomal RNA, 634 nt
Filed under: uncultured Actinomycetes bacterium
Lineage: Bacteria; Bacillati; Actinomycetota; Actinomycetes
Description: bacterial SSU rRNA
Rfam family: Bacterial small subunit ribosomal RNA
Source: RNAcentral
CCUAUCAGCUUGUUGGCGGGGUAACGGCCCACCAAGGCAUCGACGGGUAGCUGGUCUGAGAGGACGAGCAGCCACACUGGGACUGAGACACGGCCCAGACUCCUACGGGAGGCAGCAGUGGGGAAUAUUGCGCAAUGGGCGAAAGCCUGACGCAGCAACGCCGCGUGGGGGGUGACGGCCUUCGGGUUGUAAACCCCUUUCAGCAGGGACGAAAAUGACGGUACCUGCAGAAGAAGCCCCGGCCAACUACGUGCCAGCAGCCGCGGUAACACGUAGGGGGCAAGCGUUGUCCGGAUUUAUUGGGCAUAAAGAGCUCGUAGGCGGUUGCGUAAGUCGGAUGUGAAAACUCAGGGCUCAACCCGGAGACGCCAUUCGAUACUGCGCUGACUAGAGUCCGGUAGGGGAGCAUGGAAUUCCUGGUGUAGCGGUGAAAUGCGCAGAUAUCAGGAGGAACACCGAUGGCGAAGGCAGGUCUCUGGGCUGUUACUGACGCUGAGAAGCGAAAGCAUGGGGAGCGAACAGGAUUAGAUACCCUGGUAGUCCAUGCCGUAAACGUUGGGCACUAGGUGUGGGGGACAUUCCACGUUUUCCGCGCCGUAGCUAACGCAUUAAGUACCCCGCCUGGGGAGUACGG